RNAcentral lists this ribosomal RNA (285 nucleotides) under uncultured archaeon SYA_2000_54. RNAcentral's name for it is "partial 16S ribosomal RNA". It matches the Rfam family "Archaeal small subunit ribosomal RNA", at positions 521 to 805 of the family's 1478-position model. The record is from RNAcentral.
GUAUCCGGCCGGAUUAGUCUCUUGCUAAAUCUGGCAGCUUAACUGUCAGGCUUUCAGGAGAUACUGUCUGGCUCGAGCCCGGGAGAGGUGAGAGGUACUUCAGGGGUAGGGGUGAAAUCUUGUAAUCCUUGAAGGACCACCAGUGGCGAAGGCGUCUCUCCAGAACGGACCUUACGGCAAGGGACGAAAGCUAGGGGCACGAACCGGAUUAGAUACCCGGGUAGUCCUAGCCGUAAACGAUACUCGCUAGGUGUCGGCAACGGUGCGACCGUUGUCGGUGCCGUA